GUAGGUGGCAAGCGUUGUCCGGAAUUAUUGGGCGUAAAGCGCGCGCAGGCGGUCCUUUAAGUCUGAUGUGAAAGCCCACGGCUCAACCGUGGAGGGUCAUUGGAAACUGGGGGACUUGAGUACAGAGGAGGAAAGCGGAAUUCCAAGUGUAGCGGUGAAAUGCGUAGAGAUUUGGAGGAACACCAGUGGCGAAGGCGGCUUUCUGGUCUGUAACUGACGCUGAGGCGCGAAAGCGUGGGGAGCAAACAGGGAUUAGAUACCCUGGUAGUCCACGCCGUAAACGAUGAGUGCUAAGUGUUAGGGGGUUUCCCGCCCCUUAGUGCUGCAGCUAACGCAUUAAGCACUCCGCCUGGGGAUACGGCCGCAAGGCUG
Molecule: ribosomal RNA, 372 nt
Filed under: uncultured organism
Description: partial 16S ribosomal RNA
Rfam family: Bacterial small subunit ribosomal RNA
Source: RNAcentral